AUAGGUCUGUGUGACAAGUGACUUCAAAACAAAGGCUUUUGGAGGAGACAGGUCUCUAACUAGCUGCUCUCCUCUCUAAACAGGUUUUAUAAGCAGGCAGAUGCCCAUGGGAGGAGGAGGGGAUGAGGAACCAGGGAAAUAGUGGAAGAGAAAAGGAGGAGAUGGGGAAGGCUAGGAGAAAGGGAGGCACAGAAAAGACACCUGGUGAGUAAGAGUUCGGCUUCCUUUUCCCUUUCAAUCGCACAAAUGAUGGGGCUACCCAUGGCUUUCAAAUCUACCUCAACACUUCUUGGGAGCUAGUUGUGGCCUGAGGCACAAGCUCACUCUCAAAGGACUCUCAGAGCUCAGAGUAACAGAGGCACAAGUCAGACAGAAAGACACGUGAGCUGUCGUGUGAUGUCAACAACAGCUGACCUGUCGUGAGACCUUAGGAAGAAAACCAGUGGGGAUCUUGUUUCAGAGCGUGUAGUGCCCAGCUAGCUUCCUGCUAGGUGCUUGGAAACAGAUCCACUAACACAAUGGAGUGAUUUUGUAAUCAGUCAUAAUACCAUAAGCCACAGAUCCGCAGACUUUGACCCCUCGCAGGUAUAACAAGCUCCUUGAUUCAGCGGCACAUGCUCUCCCUAUGGGAGGGGCGUGCUUCUUCUUCUGAUUACAUAUCCAAAGCAGAUGUUUUGCUGGAGAACAAAGCGUUAUAUUCAUUAGCAACAAUCUUAUAAACCAGGUUCUUUUUACUUGCCGGUUAACUAAUUGACAGUUAAGAAUUUGUAUUAAUAAUAACCUGCAGCCAGGCAUUGUUGAAUCUGACAGUUUUAUUAAAAACAUAAGCAAGCUCUGCAAGCCAGCAUGACCGUCAGCCUUUAUGCAGGAAUCCUGCUCGCCGAGGGUCUUAACUUGCCUGUAAAACAAUAUCACACUGGCAGGAAAUUGUUCUCCCAGGUUGAAAUCAGGAGUCGGCCGAGUUCCUUGCUUGGAUGAUUUUGUGGUUGUUGUUCCCUUUGUGACACAUCUGAACAAGGAAGUGAUUUUGUCCGUGUUUUCUUAAAAUCUUAUCAGCAUGGUUCACUUGUUCUGGACCAAAUUCUCCAGAGCACGCAGUGUGCCAGGCACUGUGUUAGGAGCUGGGAAUUCAGCAGUGAACAAAACUCUCCAAAAUCCUGCCCUUGUGGACUGACCUUCUGGUGGGGAGACAAAUAAUACAUAAGCAGGAUUUUCUCUUUGUCACUGAUUUUCAGCAAUUUGAUUAUGAUGUGGCUUGGAGUAGUUUUCUUCACAGUUCUUAUGCUCAGAGUUUUUCGAGCUCCUUGGAUCUCUGAAGUUUUUGAAGCACUGCACCGGGGUCUGCUCUGUUUACAAGGAGAAGCUCAUUUUCAAACAGUAAACU
This 1384-nucleotide long non-coding RNA is filed under the name Equus asinus (donkey). RNAcentral describes it as "lncRNA (ENSEASG00005026868.1)". The record is from RNAcentral. Lineage: Eukaryota; Metazoa; Chordata; Mammalia; Perissodactyla; Equidae.